RNAcentral lists this ribosomal RNA (253 nucleotides) under uncultured prokaryote. Its description in RNAcentral is "partial 16S ribosomal RNA". It matches the Rfam family "Bacterial small subunit ribosomal RNA", at positions 524 to 776 of the family's 1533-position model. The record is from RNAcentral.
UACGGAGGAUCCAAGCGUUAUCCGGAAUCAUUGGGUUUAAAGGGUCUGUAGGCGGUUUGGUAAGUCAGUGGUGAAAGCCCGUCGCUCAACGGCGGAACGGCCAUUGAUACUGCCGGACUUGAAUUACUGGGAAGUAACUAGAAUAUGUAGUGUAGCGGUGGAAUGCGUAGAGAUCCGGAAGAACACCGGUGGCGAAGGCGGCCUGCUGGGCAGUAGCUGACGCUGAGGCGCGACAGCGUGGGGAGCAAACAGG